This is a non-coding RNA of Pterocles gutturalis (yellow-throated sandgrouse), 375 nucleotides long. The record is from the annotation of a RefSeq genome assembly. NCBI's taxonomy places the organism in Eukaryota, Metazoa, Chordata, Aves, Pterocliformes, Pteroclidae.
AGACCUUCCUCCUUCCACAUCCACCUCCCCGCACCGCUCUGUCCCCCUCGCAGGCCAGCCCGUGGUCUCCCCCACCAUCCACCUCUUCCCGCUGUCCUUGGACAAGGUCCCAUUGCAGAGCAAAGCCACCCAGGUGUGUCUGCUGCAGGGCUUCUACCCCGGCGCCGUGCAGGUGGCCUGGACAGCCAAUGGCCGUGCCCUCACCAGGGCACUGAGACCAGCCAGCCCCGGCGGCAGAGCAACCACCAGGACAUGGCCAGCAGCUACCUGGUGCUGAGUGCCGCCAACUGGAAGAGCCACAAGCCCUACGCCUGCAAGGACACGCACGAGACUGGCUCCACUGAGAAGGUCCUGAAGAGAUCCAAGUGCUCCUAA